UACGUAGGGAGCAAGCGUUGUUCGGAUUUACUGGGCGUAAAGGGCGCGUAGGCGGCAAAUUAAGCCAGCUGUGAAAUCUCCGAGCUUAACUCGGAACUGUCAGCUGAUACUGAUCUGCUAGAGUGCGGAAGGGGCAAUCGGAAUUCUUGGUGUAGCGGUGAAAUGCGUAGAUAUCAAGAGGAACACCUGAGGUGAAGACGGGUUGCUGGGCCGACACUGACGCUGAGUGCGCGAAAGCCAGGGGAGCAAACGGG
Molecule: ribosomal RNA, 254 nt
Filed under: uncultured bacterium
Lineage: Bacteria
Description: partial 16S ribosomal RNA
Rfam family: Bacterial small subunit ribosomal RNA
Source: RNAcentral